GUAGGUGGCAAGCGUUGUCCGGAAUUAUUGGGCGUAAAGCGCGCGCAGGCGGUUCAUUAAGUCUGAUGUGAAAGCCCACGGCUCAACCGUGGAGGGUCAUUGGAAACUGGAGAACUUGAGUACAGAAGAGGAAAGCGGAAUUCCACGUGUAGCGGUGAAAUGCGUAGAGAUGUGGAGGAACACCAGUGGCGAAGGCGGCUUUCUGGUCUGUAACUGACGCUGAGGCGCGAAAGCGUGGGGGAGCAAACAGGAUUAGAUACCCUGGUAGUCCACGCCGUAAACGAUGAGUGCUAAGUGUUAGGGGGUUUUCCGCCCCUUAGUGCUGCAGCUAACGCAUUAAGCACCCCCCGCCUGGGAGUACGGCCGCAAGGCUG
This 374-nucleotide ribosomal RNA is filed under the name uncultured organism. RNAcentral describes it as "partial 16S ribosomal RNA". It matches the Rfam family "Bacterial small subunit ribosomal RNA", at positions 527 to 896 of the family's 1533-position model. The record is from RNAcentral.